Molecule: ribosomal RNA, 1487 nt
Filed under: uncultured bacterium
Lineage: Bacteria
Description: bacterial SSU rRNA
Rfam family: Bacterial small subunit ribosomal RNA
Source: RNAcentral
AGUUUGAUCCUGGCUCAGGACGAACGCUGGCGGCAUGCCUAACACAUGCAAGUCGAACGAGAAAGUUCCUUCGGGAGCAAUUAAAGUGGCGCACGGGUGAGUAACGCGUAGACAAUCUGCCCUUCAGUCUGGGACAACUUUUCGAAAGGAGAGCUAAUACCGGAUAACAAUGCAUGACACAAGUUGUAUAUUUGAAAGCUUUAUGUGCUGAAGGAGGGGUCUGCGUCCCAUUAGCUAGUUGGUAAGGUAAAGGCUUACCAAGGCAACGAUGGGUAGCGGGUUUGAGAGGACGAUCCGCCACACUGGAACUGAGACACGGUCCAGACUCCUACGGGAGGCAGCAGUGGGGAAUAUUGCACAAUGGAGGAAACUCUGAUGCAGCAAUGUCGCGUGAGUGAAGAAGGCCCUUGGGUCGUAAAGCUCUUUUAUGGGGGAAGAUGAUGACGGUACCCCAAGAAUAAGCACCGGCUAACUAUGUGCCAGCAGCCGCGGUAAUACAUAGGGUGCGAGCGUUGUUCGGAAUUACUGGGCGUAAAGGGCGCGCAGGCGGAAUAGUAAGUCGGAGGUGAAAGCCCGGGGCUCAACCCCGGAGGGUCUUUCGAAACUACUAAUCUAGAGAGGGUCAGGGGCCGGCAGAAUUCCUGGUGUAGAGGUGAAAUUCGUAGAUAUCAGGAGGAAUACCGGUGGCGAAGGCGGCCGGCUGGGGCCACUCUGACGCUGAGGCGCGAAAGCGUGGGGAGCAAACAGGAUUAGAUACCCUGGUAGUCCACGCCGUAAACGAUGAGCACUGGACGUCCGGAGGGUUCGACCCUUCUGGGUGUCUCAGCUAACGCAUUAAGUGCUCCGCCUGGGGAGUACGGUCGCAAGACUAAAACUCAAAGGAAUUGACGGGGACCCGCACAAGCGGUGGAUUAUGUGGUUUAAUUCGAUGCAACGCGAAGAACCUUACCUGGACUUGACAUGUUAGUGAAACUCUGGUGAAAGCCAGAGCGUCUGCGAGCUUGCUCAAGGACACUAUCACAGGUGAUGCAUGGCUGUCGUCAGCUCGUGUCGUGAGAUGUUCGGUUAAGUCCGAUAACGAGCGCAACCCCUAUCCUUAGUUGCCAGCACGUAAUGGUGGGGACUCUAGGGAAACUGCCCGGGAUAACCGGAAGGAAGGUGGGGCCGACGUCAAGUCAGUAUGUCCCUUACGUUCAGGGCUACACACGUAAUACAAUGGGAAGUACAGAGGGUAGCAAAACUGCGAAGUUGAGCCAAUCCCAAAAAACUUCCCCAAGUUCGGAUUGCAGUCUGCAACUCGACUGCAUGAAGCAGGAAUCGCUAGUAAUCGCGCAUCAGCAUGGCGCGGUGAAUACGUUCCCGGGUCUUGUACACACCGCCCGUCACGCCAUGGAAGCCGGUAGCACCCAAUGUCAGUGUCCUAACCUUCGGGAAGGAGCUGCUUAAGGUGAGAUUGGUAACUGGGGCGAAGUCGUAACAAGGUAACC